GCUUACUGCCACACCGCCUGGUUCACGCCUGAUCUCGUAAGCUAAGAUAGGUUGGGCCUGGUUAGUACUUGGAUGGGAGACCGCCUGGGAAUACCAGGUGCUGCAAGCU
Molecule: ribosomal RNA, 109 nt
Filed under: Scophthalmus maximus (turbot)
Lineage: Eukaryota; Metazoa; Chordata; Actinopteri; Pleuronectiformes; Scophthalmidae
Source: RNAcentral